GGUUUAUUUAAGCAAUAACCUCAGUGCAUAAUAUGUUUGCGCCAUUUUGUCCCUGACGAAUUACAAUAACAAUAAUGCAUAAACAAGCUUCAAGGCUAUGCUACGACUCUUUCGGUACACAAUAUACUGUGGUAACCUUAAGUAGAUAAGGAUGUCCAGACUUUAAGAUGCCAUCUUGAACUAAGUCAGGAAAAUUUCCAUGACGUAUACACCCUUUAGUUAUGGCCUUGUAUGUUUGCCAAGUUAAGGGAG
This is a non-coding RNA of Pelobates cultripes (western spadefoot toad), 252 nucleotides long. NCBI's taxonomy places the organism in Eukaryota, Metazoa, Chordata, Amphibia, Anura, Pelobatidae. The record is from the annotation of a GenBank genome assembly.